This 447-nucleotide ribosomal RNA is filed under the name uncultured bacterium. RNAcentral's name for it is "bacterial SSU rRNA". It matches the Rfam family "Bacterial small subunit ribosomal RNA", at positions 355 to 825 of the family's 1533-position model. The record is from RNAcentral.
UCGGGAAUUUUGGGCAAUGGGCGAAAGCCUGACCCAGCAACGCCGCGUGAAGGAUGAAGUAUUUCGGCAUGUAAACUUCGAAAGAAUAGGAAGAAUAAAUGACGGUACUAUUUAUAAGGUCCGGCUAACUACGUGCCAGCAGCCGCGGUAAUACGUAGGGACCAAGCGUUGUUCGGAUUUACUGGGCGUAAAGGGCGCGUAGGCGGCAAUUCAAGUCAUCUGUGAAAUCUCCGGGCUUAACUCGGAACGGUCAGAUGAUACUGCUUUGCUAGAGUGCAGAAGGGGCAAUCGGAAUUCUUGGUGUAGCGGUGAAAUGCGUAGAUAUCAAGAGGAACACCUGAGGUGAAGACGGGUUGCUGGGCUGACACUGACGCUGAGGCGCGAAAGCCAGGGGAGCAAACGGGAUUAGAUACCCCGGUAGUCCCUGAGCGGGCUGGCAAGGCGCAU